UAGGGAAUCUUCGGCAAUGGACGAAAGUCUGACCGAGCAACGCCGCGUGAGUGAAGAAGGUUUUCGGAUCGUAAAACUCUGUUGUUAGAGAAGAACAAGGACGUUAGUAACUGAACGUCCCCUGACGGUAUCUAACCAGAAAGCCACGGCUAACUACGUGCCAGCAGCCGCGGUAAGACGUAGGUGGCAAGCGUUGUCCGGAUUUAUUGGGCGUAAAGCGAGCGCAGGCGGUUUCUUAAGUCUGAGGUGAAAGCCCCCGGCUCAACCGGGGAGGGUCAUUGGAAACUGGGAAACUUGAGUGCAGAAGAGGAGAGUGGAAUUCCAUGUGUAGCGGUGAAAUGCGUAGAUAUAUGGAGGAACACCAGUGGCGAAGGCGGCUCUCUGGUCUGUAACUGACGCUGAGGCUCGAAAGCGUGGGGAGCAAACAGG
Molecule: ribosomal RNA, 429 nt
Filed under: Gemmatimonadota bacterium
Lineage: Bacteria; Pseudomonadati; Gemmatimonadota
Description: Gemmatimonadetes bacterium partial 16S ribosomal RNA
Rfam family: Bacterial small subunit ribosomal RNA
Source: RNAcentral